RNAcentral lists this ribosomal RNA (250 nucleotides) under uncultured Staphylococcus sp. RNAcentral describes it as "partial 16S ribosomal RNA". It matches the Rfam family "Bacterial small subunit ribosomal RNA", at positions 90 to 334 of the family's 1533-position model. Lineage: Bacteria; Bacillati; Bacillota; Bacilli; Caryophanales; Staphylococcaceae. The record is from RNAcentral.
CGUUAGCGGCGGACGGGUGAGUAACACGUGGGUAACCUACCUAUAAGACUGGGAUAACUCCGGGAAACCGGGGCUAAUACCGGAUAACACAUGAGACCGCAUGGUUUCAUGAUGAAAGACGGUUUUGCUGUCACUUAUAGAUGGACCCGCGGCGUAUUAGCUAGUUGGUAAGGUAACGGCUUACCAAGGCAACGAUACGUAGCCGACCUGAGAGGGUGAUCGGCCACACUGGAACUGAGACACGGUCCAG